RNAcentral lists this unclassified non-coding RNA (552 nucleotides) under Athalia rosae (coleseed sawfly). RNAcentral's name for it is "misc RNA ENSAEAG00005012683.1". Lineage: Eukaryota; Metazoa; Arthropoda; Insecta; Hymenoptera; Athaliidae. The record is from RNAcentral.
CAUGAUGAAUUAUUCUUACACCACUCUCACUGCUGCUGCUGCUGGAUGAAAUUGCGGAGGGUUGCUGAUUCAGCAUGGUAGGAGAGGAAUGGGACGGGGCUGGUGAAUGGCUCACCAGAACCUGACAAUCUCCAGACGAUCCAUCUACUCUGCUAUGACCUGCACUUGGACUUGCCCCUGCGGCGGCAUUCAAGCUGCUAGCUCUUGGCUGUUUGAUGCUUGUUUUCGAGGAAACUGAAGUUAUGGUGGAUGCCGAGCCAAGUGGACGGAUACCCGAAAGAUCACCCAGAUCGCAAAGCGGGAUCUUGGGCUGUUGCCUUAAAAAAUCGAAGUACAACAAUUAAAAACCUUGUUGGAGUGAUGUUAACUGGGGGGUACGGAUCAAGCAUUCGCAGCUGAACACAGUUUGGGCUUAGAAGGGGGUCUCCAGCGCCAAGGGGUUGGUGUUGAGCUGAGGGUGACCCCAUAGUUCCUGCUGAUGGGCCACACACUGCUGCACCGCUACCAGCCCUUGUAGCUGUUACUGCAUUCCGUGAGAUUUCUAUAGCCAGU